This 407-nucleotide ribosomal RNA is filed under the name uncultured prokaryote. RNAcentral describes it as "bacterial SSU rRNA". It matches the Rfam family "Bacterial small subunit ribosomal RNA", at positions 355 to 774 of the family's 1533-position model. The record is from RNAcentral.
UGGGGAAUAUUGCACAAUGGGCGCAAGCCUGAUGCAGCGACGCCGCGUGAGGGAUGACGGCCUUCGGGUUGUAAACCUCUUUCAAUAGGGACGAAGCGCAAGUGACGGUACCUAUAGAAGAAGGACCGGCCAACUACGUGCCAGCAGCCGCGGUCAUACGUAGGGUCCGAGCGUUGUCCGGAAUUACUGGGCGUAAAGAGCUCGUAGGUGGUUUGUCGCGUUGUUCGUGAAAACCCACAGCUUAACUGUGGGCGUGCGGGCGAUACGGGCAGACUUGAGUACUGCAGGGGAGACUGGAAGUCCUGGUGUAGCGGUGGAAUGCGCAGAUAUCAGGAGGAACACCGGUGACGAAGGCGGGUCUCUGGGCAGUAACUGACGCUGAGGAGCGAAAGCGUGGGGAGCGAACA